GACGAACGCUGGCGGCGUGCUUAACACAUGCAAGUCGAACGAUGAAGCCGGAGCUUGCUCUGGUGAAUUAGUGGCGAACGGGUGAGUAACACGUGAGUAACCUGCCCUUGACUCUGGGAUAACUGCGGGAAACUGUAGCUAAUACCGGAUACGACCCUCGGAGGCAUCUCCUGGGGGUGGAAAGAAUUUCGGUCAAGGAUGGACUCGCGGCCUAUCAGCUAGUUGGUGAGGAAAAGGCUCACCAAGGCGACGACGGGUAGCCGGCCUGAGAGGGGGACCAGCAACCCUGGGACUGAGACAAGGCCCAGACUCCAACGGGGGGACGCAGUCGGGAAUAUUGCACAAUGGACGCAAGCCUGAUGCAGCAACGACGCGUGAGGGAUGACGGCCUUCGGGUUGUAAACCUCUUUUAGCAGGGAAGAAGCGAAAGUGACGGUACCUGCAGAAAAAGCACCGGCUAACUACGUGCCAGCCGCCGCAGUAA
Molecule: ribosomal RNA, 484 nt
Filed under: uncultured bacterium
Lineage: Bacteria
Description: partial 16S ribosomal RNA
Rfam family: Bacterial small subunit ribosomal RNA
Source: RNAcentral